UACGGAGGGUGCAAACGUUGCUCGGAAUCAUUGGGCGUAAAGCGCACGCAGGCGGUCUGUCAAGUCGGAUGUGAAAUCCCCGGGCUCAACCUGGGAACUGCAUUCGAAACUGGCAGGCUAGAGUCUUGUAGAGGGGGGUAGAAUUCCAGGUGUAGCGGUGAAAUGCGUAGAGAUCUGGAGGAAUACCGGUGGCGAAGGCGGCCCCCUGGACAAAGACUGACGCUCAGGUGCGAAAGCGUGGGGAGCAAACAGG
RNAcentral lists this ribosomal RNA (253 nucleotides) under uncultured bacterium. RNAcentral describes it as "partial 16S ribosomal RNA". It matches the Rfam family "Bacterial small subunit ribosomal RNA", at positions 524 to 776 of the family's 1533-position model. The record is from RNAcentral.